ACAGGAGGAGCAAAGAGUCUUCGCUGUGCUUUGGAGACAGAGAAGCCAUCAGCCACGUGAGAUCUCGGGUUCCCGUGACUCUAUAUUCCAGAUAACAGACAGGCCUGUUCAGUGGAGAGAGUCAAGCCAUUGAAAAGAGUCGUCCUAAUUUGCAUCAUAAAACAGUAAUUUGUCACAGUAAAGGAAAGCUGACUAAUGCAGGGGCAUUGCGCGCAAUUCUACAAACCAACCAGUGUAUUUCAUCUUUCUGGCUAUAGUGAUUAGUGAAGUGAGCAUAUGACUUUGGGCCAGCCAAUCAAAAUGGACCCCUUGACCUUUUAGGGGCUUCUGGGAGAAGACUGUUCUCCUCUUUUUACAGUGAAUGAAAAGAGUAAGUUGACAGCCAUUUGGGACCUACAAGGCAAGCCAGAACUGGAAAAACAAAACCAAACAAAAAUUACAACCAACCACCAUCACGAACAAAAAUCCCCUAACAACAACAACAACAACAACAACAACAACAACCACAACCACUACCACGACAACCACACAACAACAACAAUGAAAGGCAGCAAGAAACCAGGUCUCGGUUAUGGGUAUCAUUAAAGAAGGGGAGAACUGAAGACCGACUUGUUUAGAGAAAGGCACUGAGAUGUGUUGAAGACACAUCUUGAAGAGCUAUGGUUCUCCGCUAAACAUAGCCCUAGCAACAUCUUGCAAAGCCUCAGUUUGUCCUCAGGUCUGUCUGAUCCCAAAACUGGAGUUCUUUUUCUUGUCAUAGUGACAAGUCUCAGUGUGUAUCUCGGUUGUGCACAUGUAUGGAGGGCAGAGGACCACUUGCAGGAGUCUUCUCUUUCCACCAUGUGUCAGGCUUGCUGUUAAGUGCUUUUACCUGCCGAACCAUUUCACAGGCCCGUUUCACUUUAUUCUCUUUUCAAGAGGGUGUAUACGGAUGCGCGUGCGAGUGGGAGUGUGCAUGUGUGUGUGUAUUUGUGUGUGCGCAUGUAUUUGUGUGUGUUUUACUGGGGAUGGAAUCCACUACUUUGCUCAGAAGAGGUAAGCUUUUUUGCCAUUGAACCAUAGCGGAAGUCCUCGGUUUCAGAGCUCAAGUGCCUGCUGUUGCUGCGAAAGUGCGAUCUACUCCCUAGCCCUCUCGAGGAUGGAGAGCAUUUGCUACAGGCAGCUGCGCUUGAGCGACUCCAAACAAACACAUAAUCUUCCCACUGGGUAAUUGCUGAUGAUAAUUGAGAGAACAUUUUAAUUUGUUACCACGGAUGACAAGGGGGAGAGUGUGCUUUGCUUUCAGAGAUCACCAAAAAGAAAAAAUACAAAACAAAACAAAACCCCAAAACACCUAAACAACGCCUCUGUUCUUGUCUACAUUCUCAUCACAUAAGGUGCAUGCUCCUGAUCUUUACUGCCUUAUUCUGACAGACACACAUGAAGCGUCUCCCUGCAUUUAGUGCCACAUAGCAACAUUAGCAGUUACAAAUCCAGCGUGAGUCACAAAUGCGAACCACAGAGACCAUUUAUUUACUGACUUUUUUUGGUUUUAGAAUGGUUUUUUACUUUAUAGUCCAGGCUAGACUGAAACUCACUGUCUCUCCUUCUGAAAUGCUGGGAUUACAGGUGUGUAGUACUAUGCUAAGUUCUUUGAGACCAUUUAAAAUGUUCUGAUAAGGAGCCUGGAGAGAUGGCUUGGUGGUUAAGAGCGCUGGGUGC
This is a long non-coding RNA of Mus musculus (house mouse), 1701 nucleotides long. RefSeq annotates it as predicted gene, 35963. Lineage: Eukaryota; Metazoa; Chordata; Mammalia; Rodentia; Muridae. The record is from RefSeq and is a predicted model, not a curated record. The transcript is spliced from 3 exons.